GACGAACGCUGGCGGCGUGCUUAACACAUGCAAGUCGAACGGAAAGGCCCUGCUUUUGUGGGGUGCUCGAGUGGCGAACGGGUGAGUAACACGUGAGUAACCUGCCCUUGACUUUGGGAUAACUUCAGGAAACUGGGGCUAAUACCGGAUAGGAGCUCCUGCUGCAUGGUGGGGGUUGGAAAGUUUCGGCGGUUGGGGAUGGACUCGCGGCUUAUCAGCUUGUUGGUGGGGUAGUGGCUUACCAAGGCUUUGACGGGUAGCCAGCCUGAGAGGGUGACCGGCCACAUUGGGACUGAGAUACGGCCCAGACUCCUACGGGAGGCAGCAGUGGGGAAUAUUGCACAAUGGGCGGAAGCCUGAUGCAGCAACGCCGCGUGCGGGAUGACGGCCUUCGGGUUGUAAACCGCUUUCGCCUGUGACGAAGCGUGAGUGACGGUAAUGGGUAAAGAAGCACCGGCUAACUA
RNAcentral lists this ribosomal RNA (464 nucleotides) under uncultured bacterium. Its description in RNAcentral is "partial 16S ribosomal RNA". It matches the Rfam family "Bacterial small subunit ribosomal RNA", at positions 28 to 503 of the family's 1533-position model. The record is from RNAcentral.